CCAGAGAUGGAUUGGUGCCUUCGGGAACUCUGAGACAGGUGCUGCAUGGCUGUCGUCAGCUCGUGUUGUGAAAUGUCGGGUUAAGUCCCGCAACGAGCGCAACCCUUAUCCUUUGUUGCCAGCGGUCCGGCCGGGAACUCAAAGGAGACUGCCAGUGAUAAACUGGAGGAAGGUGGGGAUGACGUCAAGUCAUCAUGGCCCUUACGAGUAGGGCUACACACGUGCUACAAUGGCGCAUACAAAGAGAAGCGACCUCGCGAGAGCAAGCGGACCUCAUAAAGUGCGUCGUAGUCCGGAUUGGAGUCUGCAACUCGACUCCAUGAAGUCGGAAUCGCUAGUAAUCGUAGAUCAGAGUGCUACGGUGAAUACGCUCCCGGGCCUUGUACACAC
This 390-nucleotide ribosomal RNA is filed under the name uncultured bacterium. RNAcentral describes it as "bacterial SSU rRNA". It matches the Rfam family "Bacterial small subunit ribosomal RNA", at positions 1000 to 1390 of the family's 1533-position model. The record is from RNAcentral.